RNAcentral lists this non-coding RNA (27 nucleotides) under Rattus norvegicus (Norway rat). Lineage: Eukaryota; Metazoa; Chordata; Mammalia; Rodentia; Muridae. The record is from RNAcentral.
CCUGGUCCUUGGUCUCACCUGUGAUAA